This 253-nucleotide ribosomal RNA is filed under the name uncultured bacterium. Its description in RNAcentral is "partial 16S ribosomal RNA". It matches the Rfam family "Bacterial small subunit ribosomal RNA", at positions 524 to 776 of the family's 1533-position model. The record is from RNAcentral.
UACAGAGGUCUCAAGCGUUGUUCGGAUUCAUUGGGCGUAAAGGGUGUGUAGGUGGCGCCGUAAGUCGGGUGUGAAAUUUCGGAGCUUAACUCCGAAACUGCAUUCGAUACUGCGGUGCUUGAGGACUGGAGAGGAGACUGGAAUUCAUGGUGUAGCAGUGAAAUGCGUAGAUAUCAGGAGGAAUACCGAUGGCGAAGGCAGGUCCCUGGGCCAAUACUGACGCUCAUGCACGAAAGCGUGGGGAGCAAACAGG